UGUAAGCGUAUACCAAAGUUGUUGCAGUUAAAACGCUCGUAGUCGGAAUUUGGCAGUUCCGGAUGUGUGCACGUCGUGUGCGCACUUCGCGGGGAUUGCUUUUGUGGUCUUGUGUAGGAUGAGGCACUUUUAUUAGUGAACGUCCUCACGCAACCACUUUUUACUGUGAGAAAUUCAGAGUGCUCAAAGCAGGCAUUUGCCGUGAAUGUAUUAGCAUGGAAUAAUAGAAUAGGACUUGGUCCUAUUUUGUUGGUUUGUUGGGACUGAGUAAUGAUUAAGAGGGACAGUUGGGGGCAUUUGUAUUUCGGUGCUAGAGGUGAAAUUCUUAGAUUACCGAAAGACAAACUGCUGCGAAAGCGUCUGCCAAGGAUGUUUUCAUUGA
This 382-nucleotide ribosomal RNA is filed under the name uncultured eukaryote. Its description in RNAcentral is "partial 18S ribosomal RNA". It matches the Rfam family "Eukaryotic small subunit ribosomal RNA", at positions 592 to 976 of the family's 1831-position model. The record is from RNAcentral.